Long non-coding RNA from Pipra filicauda (Wire-tailed manakin), 433 nucleotides. RefSeq lists it as uncharacterized. NCBI's taxonomy places the organism in Eukaryota, Metazoa, Chordata, Aves, Passeriformes, Pipridae. The record is from RefSeq and is a predicted model, not a curated record. The transcript has 3 exons.
CUUUGCCUUCAGCCUCUGAGAUGCUCAAGUACCAUCUGGACUUCAGUGACAGCAGACCGGAGGGAAGGACUGAUUUGUUAGUCAUUGUCUUCACACCUUUAAAUCCUCUCUCCAUCUCUCCAAACUGCUCUCAUUUUGGUAAUUAGUUAAGGUUUGUGGAAGCAUUCUGCCUUACAGAGAGAAGAUGAGCCAGAAUGGAGACUCUGUAGUACAAGGAGGGAGAAGAUUGUUAAAUUUGAGAAAGCUAUCUUGGGUAAUAAUCCCGGUCAGCAGAUUACUUCCUUGAGGAAACUUGGAGCAUGAAAAGAAGAGCAGGCUACAAAAUGGAAAUUUUACUGUGUUUUUUCUAUGCCCCAUUAUGUCUCCUCAGACUUUUUCUUUUUUAAUCAUUAUUUUUUUCAUCCACAUAUUUAAAGUACCUGGAGUUUUGAAG